This is a non-coding RNA of Ceratotherium simum simum (southern white rhinoceros), 124 nucleotides long. The record is from RefSeq and is a predicted model, not a curated record. NCBI's taxonomy places the organism in Eukaryota, Metazoa, Chordata, Mammalia, Perissodactyla, Rhinocerotidae.
GAAAUCUGACUUCACUCUAGAGUCAUCAAGAGAGUGUGGUGUGGACAGAACAGAGUCCAUAAAUGGACCCACACACUAUACAGAAUCCACUGAACUACACCCAGUCUAUUCAUUUAGGAAAGGA